RNAcentral lists this ribosomal RNA (469 nucleotides) under Comamonadaceae bacterium. RNAcentral's name for it is "bacterial SSU rRNA". It matches the Rfam family "Bacterial small subunit ribosomal RNA", at positions 392 to 854 of the family's 1533-position model. Lineage: Bacteria; Pseudomonadati; Pseudomonadota; Betaproteobacteria; Burkholderiales; Comamonadaceae. The record is from RNAcentral.
GCAUGCCGCGUGCAGGAUGAAGGCCUUCGGGUUGUAAACUGCUUUUGUACGGAACGAAACGGUGAGCUCUAAUAAAGUUUGCUAAUGACGGUACCGUAAGAAUAAGCACCGGCUAACUACGUGCCAGCAGCCGCGGUAAUACGUAGGGUGCGAGCGUUAAUCGGAAUUACUGGGCGUAAAGCGUGCGCAGGCGGUUAUAUAAGACAGAUGUGAAAUCCCCGGGCUCAACCUGGGACCUGCAUUUGUGACUGUAUAGCUAGAGUACGGUAGAGGGGGAUGGAAUUCCGCGUGUAGCAGUGAAAUGCGUAGAUAUGCGGAGGAACACCGAUGGCGAAGGCAAUCCCCUGGACCUGUACUGACGCUCAUGCACGAAAGCGUGGGGAGCAAACAGGAUUAGAUACCCUGGUAGUCCACGCCCUAAACGAUGUCAACUGGUUGUUGGGUCUUCACUGACUCAGUAACGAAGCUA